AGAUAGAAUUUCAUGACUUUUUGCAAAAUAUUUGGGGAUUCUUUUCAGAUACUGAAGUUUUAAAAAAAAAUGUUCCAUUACUUUUACAAGUGUGGAGUGAAUCCCAUGUAGGCUUAGCCUACACCACCUAACACAGAGGAUCCACUGGGUGGAGUUGAACCCGAGGCAUCUGUCUGGGAGGCGAGAGUGCUAACCACUACACCACUGUACCGUGUCAACUGCUGCCAUUAGAAUGUCUAAUUACUCCAAUUUAGAAAAAAUUCAGAUUUUUAUUCAAAAGUACGUUUUCUCACCGUCGUCCCCCUUCAUAUGACUAAAGAUAGAAUUUCACCACUGUACCGUAUAAACUGCUGCCAUUAGAAUGUCUUAUGACUCCAAUUUAGAAAAAAUUCUGAUUUUUAUUCAAAAGUACGUUUUCUCACCGUCGUCCCCCUUCAGAUGACUCAAGAUAGAAUUUCAUGACAUUUGCAAAAUAUUUUGGCAUUUAUUUCAGACUUGGAAGUUUAAAAAAAGUUUUUUUCAUUACUUUUACAAGUAUGGACUAAACCCAUGCAGGCUUAGCCUACACCACCUAACACAGUGGUGCCACUGGGUGGAGUUGAACCCGAAGCAUCUGUGUGGGAGGCGAGAGUGCUAACCACUACACCACUGUACCGUGUCAACUGCUGCCAUUAGAAUGUCUUAUGACUUCAAUUUAGAAAAAAUUCGGAUUUUUAUUCAAAAGUAGGUUUUCUCACCGUCGUCCCCCUUCAGAUGACUCAAGAU
Gasterosteus aculeatus aculeatus (three-spined stickleback) is the source of this 765-nucleotide long non-coding RNA. The record is from Ensembl. Lineage: Eukaryota; Metazoa; Chordata; Actinopteri; Perciformes; Gasterosteidae.